This 800-nucleotide ribosomal RNA is filed under the name Marasmius rubicundus. Its description in RNAcentral is "Marasmius haematocephalus var. rubicundus partial large subunit ribosomal RNA". It matches the Rfam family "Eukaryotic large subunit ribosomal RNA", at positions 104 to 893 of the family's 3401-position model. The record is from RNAcentral. Lineage: Eukaryota; Fungi; Basidiomycota; Agaricomycetes; Agaricales; Marasmiaceae.
AAAGCUCAAAUUUAAAAUCUGGCAGCUUCGCUGUCCGAGUUGUAAUUUAGAGAAGUGUUACCCGUGUUGGACCGUGUAUAAGUCUCCUGGAAUGGAGCGUCAUAGAGGGUGAGAAUCCCGUCUUUGACACGGACUACCAAUGCAUUGUGGUGCGCUCUCGAAGAGUCGAGUUGUUUGGGAAUGCAGCUCUAAAUGGGUGGUAAAUUCCAUCUAAAGCUAAAUAUUGGCGAGAGACCGAUAGCGAACAAGUACCGUGAGGGAAAGAUGAAAAGAACUUUGGAAAGAGAGUUAAACAGUACGUGAAAUUGCUGAAAGGGAAACGCUUGAAGUCAGUCGCGUUGGCCGGGGAUCAGCCUUGCUUUUGUGAGGUGUACUUCCUGGUUGACGGGUCAGCAUCAGUUUCGACCAUUGGAAAAAGACUUGGGGAAUGUGGCAACUUCGGUUGUGUUAUAGCCCUUUGUCGUAUACAGUGAUUGGGACUGAGGAACUCAGCACGCCGCAAGGCCGGGUUUCGACCACGUUCGUGCUUAGGAUGCUGGCAAAAUGGCUUUAAUCGACCCGUCUUGAAACACGGACCAAGGAGUCUAACAUGCUUGCGAGUGUUUGGGUGGAAAACCCGAGCGCGUAAUGAAAGUGAAAGUUGGGAUCUCUGUCGUGGAGAGCACCGACGCCCGGACCAGAAGUUUACUGACGGAUCUGCGGUAGAGCACGUAUGUUGGGACCCGAAAGAUGGUGAACUAUGCCUGAAUAGGGUGAAGCCAGAGGAAACUCUGGUGGAGGCUCGUAGCGAUUCUGACGUG